UCAGAUGGCCGGAUGGCUGCUGCCUGCACCCUUGCGGUGCGGGGAGAGGAAAGUCCGGGCUCCACAGGAUCAGGAUGCCGGGUAACGCCCGGCGGGGGCGACCCCAGGGAAAGUGCCACAGAAAACA
This 127-nucleotide RNase P RNA is filed under the name SAR116 cluster bacterium. Its description in RNAcentral is "partial RNase P RNA component class A". It matches the Rfam family "Bacterial RNase P class A", at positions 1 to 123 of the family's 367-position model. From Rfam's summary of the family: Ribonuclease P (RNase P) is a ubiquitous endoribonuclease, found in archaea, bacteria and eukarya as well as chloroplasts and mitochondria. Its best characterised activity is the generation of mature 5'-ends of tRNAs by cleaving the 5'-leader elements of precursor-tRNAs. Lineage: Bacteria; Pseudomonadati; Pseudomonadota; Alphaproteobacteria; Puniceispirillales (SeqCode). The record is from RNAcentral.